UCUGGCGACAUUAGCGCUAUGGAACCACCCGAUCCCAUCCCGAACUCGGAAGUGAAACGUAGCUGCGCCGAUGGUAGUGUGCAGUUGAGCAUGCGAGAGUAGGUCAUCGCCAGAU
This 115-nucleotide ribosomal RNA is filed under the name Solilutibacter tolerans. The record is from RNAcentral. Lineage: Bacteria; Pseudomonadati; Pseudomonadota; Gammaproteobacteria; Lysobacterales; Lysobacteraceae.